GACAGAGGGUGCAAACGUUGUUCGGAAUUACUGGGCGUAAAGCGCGUGUAGGCGGCUAUGCAAGUCGGAUGUGAAAGCCCUCGGCUCAACCGGAGAAGUGCACCCGAAACUGCAAAGCUAGAGUCUCGGAGAGGAUCGUGGAAUUCUCGGUGUAGAGGUGAAAUUCGUAGAUAUCGAGAGGAACACCGGGGGCGAAGGCGGCGAACUGGACGAAGACUGACGCUGAGACGCGAAAGCGUGGGGAGCAAACAGG
This 253-nucleotide ribosomal RNA is filed under the name uncultured bacterium. RNAcentral's name for it is "partial 16S ribosomal RNA". It matches the Rfam family "Bacterial small subunit ribosomal RNA", at positions 524 to 776 of the family's 1533-position model. The record is from RNAcentral.